This 254-nucleotide ribosomal RNA is filed under the name uncultured bacterium. Its description in RNAcentral is "partial 16S ribosomal RNA". It matches the Rfam family "Bacterial small subunit ribosomal RNA", at positions 524 to 777 of the family's 1533-position model. The record is from RNAcentral.
UACAGAGGGUGCUAGCGUUGUUCGGAAUUAUUGGGCGUAAAGGGCGCGUAGGCGGCCCUGUGUGUCGGGUGUGAAAGCCCACCUCUUAAAGGUGGAAUUGCAUUCGAAACUACAGGGCUGGAGUGUCGGAGAGGAUGGCGGAAUUCCUGGUGUAGAGGUGAAAUUCGUAGAUAUCAGGAGGAACACCGGUGGCGAAGGCGGCCAUCUGGACGACAACUGACGCUGAGGCGCGAAAGCGUGGGGAUCAAACAGGG